This 540-nucleotide ribosomal RNA is filed under the name Triticum aestivum (bread wheat). RNAcentral describes it as "partial small subunit ribosomal RNA". The record is from RNAcentral. Lineage: Eukaryota; Viridiplantae; Streptophyta; Magnoliopsida; Poales; Poaceae.
AUGCUGAAUAAAGAAGCUCCAGGUUCUUCUCCGGCGAGGCGAUCGUCUCUUUGCUCGGUGAUGGAUUUGGGAACCAGUCUGUUCAAGCGGGGAUAUCGUGGCGGCGACGGCAUCCUUGUGGCGGACUUGUGUCCUCGGGCUCCGCCGUUGCGACGACGUCUGCUCCAGCGUCGGCGCGGAGCUUGGGAGGUAGAUCGGGAGCAGAUGCAGAUUGUGAUCUGCAUCGACGACAUCUGGAAGACAGAACAUGUGCUGAGUUCGUGGUUGAUGGAUGGCAGGUAUGGUUUCCUCCUCCAACAUCUUAGUUGGGCGGGGGUGCCAGAUCUGGAGUUUGAUGGCGUGUCCGGGGUGUUGCCCCGGUCUGAUUCGUUCAACGGCAAUGGCUUCAUCUUUGGUGAGCCACCUUGGAGGUCCGCAAAGCUGCAUAUCAGCGAUGGAGCCGCGCCGAGCUCGGGUGAGGAGGUGAUCCAUCAUUUUUUUUCUUUGGUGGCUCCUGUGAUGGUGCCGGAGGCAAGUGACGGACGUUGGUGUCAAGCUUAG